ACAACUCAUAAUAUAACCAACCAAAUCCACACAGACCAUCCUCUCUUUCUCUGCUGUAAACUCUGCAGAGCCUCAUCAUUGCAACAAUGUCUUGCUCCAAUAUCACCAUGUUGGUCUCAUCCAAACCUUCAUUACCUGAUGCCUCUAACCUCUCUUUCCGUUCUGCUCUCAACCCUUUUCAGCUUCCUUCACAAAACUCAUCAUCUUCUUGCACUCCUUCAAGACCAACUCAAAUUCAGUGUGGUCUAAGAGAACUCAGAAACCGUAUUGAUUCUGUCAAAAACACUCAGAAAAUCACUGAAGCAAUGAAGCUUGUGGCUGCU
RNAcentral lists this long non-coding RNA (323 nucleotides) under Medicago truncatula (barrel medic). RNAcentral's name for it is "long non-coding RNA (MTRU_LNC006798)". The record is from RNAcentral. Lineage: Eukaryota; Viridiplantae; Streptophyta; Magnoliopsida; Fabales; Fabaceae.